UGGUUAAUUACUUAAAUUUAGCUUUGCUGAUUUACUUGGUGACAGAUAUUUUGCGAUAAGUUUCUGGGUAACGGCAAACAAAUAACCCAGAUAAACAUUUCAUGAUAAUAUGGAUGGCAGGAGUUGUUGACUAGGUUGGCAGACUGCGUCUGUGUGGUAAAGGGUAAAGCAAAAUCUAUACUGAGAUCACU
Long non-coding RNA from Sander lucioperca (pikeperch), 191 nucleotides. RefSeq lists it as uncharacterized. The record is from RefSeq and is a predicted model, not a curated record. Lineage: Eukaryota; Metazoa; Chordata; Actinopteri; Perciformes; Percidae. The transcript has 2 exons.